UCCUACGGGAGGCAGCAGUGGGGAAUAUUGGGCAAUGGGCGCAAGCCUGACCCAGCAACGCCGCGUGAAGGAAGAAGGCUUUCGGGUUGUAAACUUCUUUUAUGAGGGACGAAAGAAAUGACGGUACCUCAUGAAUAAGCCACGGCUAACUACGUGCCAGCAGCCGCGGUAAUACGUAGGUGGCAAGCGUUAUCCGGAUUUACUGGGUGUAAAGGGCGUGUAGGCGGGAAUGCAAGGCAGAUGUGAAAAUUAUGGGCCUAACACAUAACCUGCCUUUGAAA
This 281-nucleotide ribosomal RNA is filed under the name uncultured bacterium. RNAcentral describes it as "partial 16S ribosomal RNA". It matches the Rfam family "Bacterial small subunit ribosomal RNA", at positions 337 to 632 of the family's 1533-position model. The record is from RNAcentral.